UUCAACCCAUCAUAUGCUCAAAUUGCCACGGUAAAUCUGUGAACCAAUUCCUUCAAACUCUUCAUCAUUCGCGACAACCCCAUCACCGAGCGCUUUCUCACCCUCGACUGCCUCAAACAUCCAAUACUCCUCAGCCUCUCUACAUUCUCCUCUACGAAACCCUAGGAUUGAAAUUGAAGUCCUCUCUGGUGCCGAAGAGAUCGGCCUUGGUUCAAAUUCAUUUGUUCACUUUUUGAACAAGACAUUAGGUUAGUGGAUUAUGUUAUGAGACAACUCGUAAUCAUUUUUGGCAUAACCUGUAUGGUUCAUGAAAGUAAGUCAAUAAACUGAUAUGUAUUAUAGCAUAGGAUGCUUUAAUCUCCUUAUGGUUCUUAUUAAUGUUCUUACUCUUAAUACUUUAUUGAUGUUUUUAUGGGGAGCCCAAUGAUCAGUAUUUUUAGGUAAACGGUGAACAGACUAUUACUUGACAUUAUUUUUUCUUCUUUGAAUUAUAUAUAAAAGGGUUGUUUCUGAAUUUUGUUGGCAGCUACAACAAUAAA
RNAcentral lists this long non-coding RNA (539 nucleotides) under Panax ginseng (ginseng). RNAcentral describes it as "long non-coding RNA (PGIN_LNC005376)". The record is from RNAcentral. Lineage: Eukaryota; Viridiplantae; Streptophyta; Magnoliopsida; Apiales; Araliaceae.